RNAcentral lists this ribosomal RNA (297 nucleotides) under uncultured bacterium. RNAcentral's name for it is "partial 16S ribosomal RNA". It matches the Rfam family "Bacterial small subunit ribosomal RNA", at positions 503 to 793 of the family's 1533-position model. The record is from RNAcentral.
CCGUGCCAGCAGCCGCGGGUAAUACGGGAGGGGUGCGAGCGUUAAUCGGAAAUUACUGGGGCGUAAAGCGCAUGCAGGCGGCCUGUUAAGUCAGAUGUGAAAGCCCGGGGCUUAACCUCGGAAUUGCAUUUGAAACUGGCAGGCUAGAGUCUUGUAGAGGGGGGUAGGAAUUUCAGGUGUAGCGGUGAAAUGCGUAGAGAUCUGAAGGAAUACCAGUGGCGAAGGCGGCCCCCUGGACAAAGACUGACGCUCAGAUGCGAAAGCGUGGGGAGCAAACAGGAUUAGAUACCCUGGUAG